RNAcentral lists this transfer RNA (71 nucleotides) under Phakopsora pachyrhizi. RNAcentral describes it as "tRNA-Gln". Lineage: Eukaryota; Fungi; Basidiomycota; Pucciniomycetes; Pucciniales; Phakopsoraceae. The record is from RNAcentral.
GUGAACUUAGCUCAGUGGUUGGAGCUUCACUCUUGAAUUUCAAGGUUGCAGGUUCAAUUCUUGCAGGUCCA